GAACAGGCAGUGGCCAGAGUGACCCCAACAGAGUGUCCAGGGACUCAGGCCUCUGAUCAAGUUACCCCCAGAGGAUCAGAGAGGGGUUGACGAAGGAGAAGCAUUCAGAGGGCACUGGCUUCUGGACAGCAAUGAGUGCCCGGGCCACACGGCCCCGAAGCCGGCGAGGGAGGCAUGCUCCACCCGGUGAACUGGAUCCCGUGGCUGAGAGUUCAGAGGAGGUCGAGGCAGCCAGUGGGAGCUCCAAGCCCAGCUUUGCCCCACCUCCGGUGAGCUCCGGGCUGGAGCAGCUGGGCCCCAUGGAGGAGGUCAGUGGCCAAGGCCUAGGAAGCAGCAUGGAGUGACUCAAGUGCCUGAGUUGGUGUCCACAGGACUGACAAGAAGACAGAUGGGGGCUCUGGCAGGGAACUGGCCUCAGCCCCCGAAGUGCCCCACAAACCUGCAGUGGAAGCCCACCAAGCCCCAGAAGCAGCCCUACAGUACGAGGAGACUGUGCCCCCUGGGAAUGGGGCCCCCGAUGUGUUUCAGACCCUCCAGCACGCUCUGAGCUCCCUGGAGGCAGCGGCUGCAGCCUGGCG
This 578-nucleotide small RNA is filed under the name Pan troglodytes (chimpanzee). RNAcentral describes it as "processed transcript". The record is from RNAcentral. Lineage: Eukaryota; Metazoa; Chordata; Mammalia; Primates; Hominidae.